Molecule: ribosomal RNA, 774 nt
Filed under: uncultured Neocallimastigales
Lineage: Eukaryota; Fungi; Neocallimastigomycota; Neocallimastigomycetes; Neocallimastigales
Description: partial large subunit ribosomal RNA
Rfam family: Eukaryotic large subunit ribosomal RNA
Source: RNAcentral
GUACACGCUGUGACUAGCAUAUCAAUAAGCGGAGGAAAAGAAACUAACUAGGAUUCCCUCAGUAACGGCGAGUGAAGCGGGAAGAGCUCAAAUUUGAAAUCUUCAAGGUUCUACCUUGACGAAUUGUAGUUUAAAGAAGUGUUUUCUGUUGGAGUUUUGGUAAAAGUUCUUUGGAAUAGGACAUCAUAGAGGGUGAGAAUCCCGUAUUUGACCAUUAUUUCCAGCUUUGUGAUACACUUUCAGAGAGUCGGAUUGUUUGGGAAUGCAGUCCAAAAUGGGUGGUAAAUUUCAUCUAAAGCUAAAUACUGGCGAGAGACCGAUAGCGAACAAGUACCGUGAGGGAAAGAUGAAAAGAACUUUGAAAAGAGAGUUAAACAGUACGUGAAAUUGUCAAAAGGGAAGCGUUUGACACCAGUGUUGUUUUCUCGAAAAUCAAUUAAAAAAGGCAGGAUUUUGUGCUGUAUUGACUUUAUCAGCUUUCUGCACUCUUUUCUUGUCUUUUUUAAUGCACUUUUCGUUUAACAAGUCAACAUCAAUUUCUUUUGUUGUAAAAGGGUCAUUGGAAGGUGGCUUUCUUUUCGGAGAAAGUGUUUAUAGCCUUUGGCCUCUGCAAUCGGAGAGAUUGAGGUCUGCAGCGUAGAUCCUUCGGGGUUAGAUACAUUUGUGCUAAGUUAUAGCCUUUCAUAGACAACUUGUUGACUAUGAUCAGUCAUGUAGCUUACUCGCUUAUGCUAUUUUACCUACGCUUAGGAUGUUGAAGACUCUACAGAGAUA